RNAcentral lists this unclassified non-coding RNA (328 nucleotides) under uncultured fungus. RNAcentral describes it as "partial contains small subunit ribosomal RNA, internal transcribed spacer 1, and 5.8S ribosomal RNA". The stretch from base 1 to 73 matches the Rfam family "Eukaryotic small subunit ribosomal RNA", at positions 1759 to 1831 of the family's 1831-position model. The record is from RNAcentral. Lineage: Eukaryota; Fungi.
ACAAACUUGGUCAUUUAGAGGAAGUAAAAGUCGUAACAAGGUUUCCGUAGGUGAACCUGCGGAAGGAUCAUUAAAGGUUUUCGCUGUUUGUGAAGGGCUGUUGCUGGCCGUAUUUUGGCAAGUGCACACCUGGAUCAUAGACACAGCAUAAUAAACCCCUCUCCUGCACCUGUGCACAACUGUAGUGGAGGGGCUAGGUCUUGCCCUCUGCUGCGAAUGUCGUUAAUCGCAUGUAAACAAAAAGUCUUGGGAUGUUCAUAAAUGUAACAAACUAUACACAACUUUCAGCAACGGAUCUCUUGGCUCUCGCAUCGAUGAAGAACGCAGC